RNAcentral lists this transfer RNA (71 nucleotides) under Colletotrichum chlorophyti. It matches the Rfam family "tRNA". Rfam says of the family: Transfer RNA (tRNA) molecules are approximately 80 nucleotides in length. Lineage: Eukaryota; Fungi; Ascomycota; Sordariomycetes; Glomerellales; Glomerellaceae. The record is from Rfam by way of RNAcentral.
GCCUUUAUAGCUCAACGGUAGAGCUUGAUACUGUUAAUAUCAUGAUAGGGGUUCAAUUCCCUUUAAGGGCU